AUUGAACGCUGGCGGCAUGCCUUACACAUGCAAGUCGAACGGCAGCGCGGGGCAACCUGGCGGCGAGUGGCGAACGGGUGAGUAAUAUAUCGGAACAUACCCUAGAGUGGGGGAUAACGUAGCGAAAGUUACGCUAAUACCGCAUACGCACUAAGGUGGAAAGUGGGGGAUUCGCAAGAACCUCAUGCUCAUGGAGUGGCCGAUAUCUGAUUAGCUAGUUGGUGAGGUAAAGGCUCACCAAGGCAACGAUCAGUAGCUGGUUUGAGAGAACGACCAGCCACACUGGAACUGAGACACGGUCCAGACUCCUACGGAGGCAGCAGUGGGAAUUUUGGACAAUGGGGGCGAACCCUGAUCCAGCAAUGCCGCGUGAGUGAAGAAAGGCCUCGGUUGUAAGUA
RNAcentral lists this ribosomal RNA (399 nucleotides) under uncultured bacterium. Its description in RNAcentral is "bacterial SSU rRNA". It matches the Rfam family "Bacterial small subunit ribosomal RNA", at positions 30 to 430 of the family's 1533-position model. The record is from RNAcentral.